This 463-nucleotide ribosomal RNA is filed under the name uncultured bacterium. Its description in RNAcentral is "partial 16S ribosomal RNA". It matches the Rfam family "Bacterial small subunit ribosomal RNA", at positions 32 to 523 of the family's 1533-position model. The record is from RNAcentral.
AAUCAACGCUGGCGGCGUGCCUAACACAUGCAAGUCGCAAGAGAAAGGGUCUUCGGAUCUGAGUAAAGUGGCGCACGGGUGAGUAACACGUGAAUUAUCUACCUUCGAGUGGGGAAUAACUUCGGGAAAACGAGGCUAAUACCGCAUAAUAUCUACCGAUCAAAGCAGUAAUGCGCUUGAAGAGGAGUUCGCGGCAGAUUAGUUCGUGGGCGGGGUAAUGGCCCACCAAACCGAUGAUCUGUAUCCGGCCUGAGAGGGCGCACGGACACACUGGAACAGAAACACGGUCCAGACUCCUACGGGAGGCAGCAGUGGGGAAUGUUGCGCAAUGGGGGAAACCCUGACGCAGCAACUCCGCGUGGAGGAUGAAGUCUCUUGGGACGUAAACUCCUUUCGGUAGGGAAGAUUAUGACGGUACCUAUAGAAGAAGCCCCGGCUAACUUCGUGCCAGCCGCCGCAGUAA